GAUGAACGCUGGCGGCAUGCCUAAUACAUGCAAGUCGAACGGACUCUUAAUGAAAAGAAUUUCCAUCCUUUUGGGACUUCCUUUCACUAAGAGUUAGUGGCGGACGGGUGAGUAACACGUUAGUACCUGCCCCAAAGUGGGGGAUAACUGCCCGAAAGGGUGGCUAAUACCGCAUGUGAUGCUUCGGCAUCAAAGCAGCAAUGCGCUUUGGGAGGGGCUUGCGUCUGAUUAGCUAGUUGGUAGGGUAAUGGCCUACCAAGGCGACGAUCAGUAGCUGGUUCGAGAGGAUGACCAGCCACACUGGGACUGAGAUACGGCCCAGACUCCUACGGGAGGCAGCAGUAAGGAAUCUUCCGCAAUGGGCGAAAGCCUGACGGAGCAAUGCCGCGUGCAGGAUGACGGCCUUCGGGUUGUAAACUGCUUUUCUGAAGGAAGAUUAUGACGGUACUUCAGGAAUAAGGACCGGCUAACUACGUGCCAGCAGCCGCAGUAAAAC
This 496-nucleotide ribosomal RNA is filed under the name uncultured bacterium. RNAcentral describes it as "bacterial SSU rRNA". It matches the Rfam family "Bacterial small subunit ribosomal RNA", at positions 28 to 526 of the family's 1533-position model. The record is from RNAcentral.